GAUGAACGCUGGCGGCGUGCCUAAUACAUGCAAGUCGAGCGAACGGACGAGAAGCUUGCUUUUCUGAUGUUAGCGGCUGACGGGUGAGUAACACGUGGAUAACCUACCUAUAAGACUGGGAUAACUUCGGGAAACCGGAGCUAAUACCGGAUAAUAUUUUGAACCGCAUGGUUCAAAAGUGAAAGACGGUCUUGCUGUCACUUAUAGAUGGAUCCGCGCUGCAUUAGCUAGUUGGUAAGGUAACGGCUUACCAAGGCAACGAUGCAUAGCGGACCUGAGAGGGUGAUCGGCCACACUGGAACUGAGACACGGUCCAGACUCCUACGGGAGGCAGCAGUAGGGAAUAUUCCGCAAUGGGCGAAAGCCUGACGGAGCAACGCCGCGUGAGUGAAGAAGGUCUUCGGAUCGUAAAGCUCUGUUAUUAGGGAAGAACAUAUGUGUAAGUAACUGUGCACAUCUUGACGGUACCUAAUCAGAAAGCCACGGCUAACUUCGUG
This 497-nucleotide ribosomal RNA is filed under the name uncultured bacterium. Its description in RNAcentral is "partial 16S ribosomal RNA". It matches the Rfam family "Bacterial small subunit ribosomal RNA", at positions 28 to 507 of the family's 1533-position model. The record is from RNAcentral.